RNAcentral lists this ribosomal RNA (497 nucleotides) under uncultured bacterium. RNAcentral describes it as "partial 16S ribosomal RNA". It matches the Rfam family "Bacterial small subunit ribosomal RNA", at positions 28 to 507 of the family's 1533-position model. The record is from RNAcentral.
GACGGACGCUGGCGGCGUGCCUAAUACAUGCAAGUUGAGCGCUGAAGGUUGGUACUUGUACCGACUGGAUGAGCAGCGAACGGGUGAGUAACGCGUGGGGAAUCUGCCUUUGAGCGGGGGACAACAUUUGGAAACGAAUGCUAAUACCGCAUAAAAACUUUAAACACAAGUUUUAAGUUUGAAAGAUGCAAUUGCAUCACUCAAAGAUGAUCCCGCGUUGUAUUAGCUAGUUGGUGAGGUAAAGGCUCACCAAGGCGAUGAUACAUAGCCGACCUGAGAGGGUGAUCGGCCACAUUGGGACUGAGACACGGCCCAAACUCCUACGGGAGGCAGCAGUAGGGAAUCUUCGGCAAUGGACGAAAGUCUGACCGAGCAACGCCGCGUGAGUGAAGAAGGUUUUCGGAUCGUAAAACUCUGUUGGUAGAGAAGAACGUUGGUGAGAGUGGAAAGCUCAUCAAGUGACGGUAACUACCCAGAAAGGGACGGCUAACUACGUG